RNAcentral lists this ribosomal RNA (113 nucleotides) under Octodon degus (degu). The record is from RNAcentral. Lineage: Eukaryota; Metazoa; Chordata; Mammalia; Rodentia; Octodontidae.
AUUUAUUUUUCGCUGAAUGCUCCUGAUCUUGUCUGAUCUCAGAAGCUAAGUAGGGCCAGGCCUGGUUAGUACUUGGAUGGGAGAUCACAGAUUAAGAAAGGAUAUUAAAAAUG